RNAcentral lists this ribosomal RNA (301 nucleotides) under uncultured bacterium. Its description in RNAcentral is "partial 16S ribosomal RNA". It matches the Rfam family "Bacterial small subunit ribosomal RNA", at positions 509 to 807 of the family's 1533-position model. The record is from RNAcentral.
CAGUCGCCGCGGUAAUACGGAGGAUCCAAGCGUUAUCCGGAUUUAUUGGGUUUAAAGGGUGCGUAGGUGGCCUGUUAAGUCAGGGGUGAAAGACGGUAGCUUAACUAUCGCAGUGCCCUUGAUACUGAUGGGCUUGAAUGAACUAGAGGUAGGCGGAAUGUGACAGGUAGCGGUGAAAUGCAUAGAUAUGUCACAGAACACCAAUUGCGAAGGCAGCUUACUAUGGUUUUAUUGACACUGUGGCACGAAAGCGUGGGGAUCAAACAGGAUUAGAUACCCGCGUAGUCCCUGUCUCUUAUAC